AGUGAACGCUGGCGGUCUGCUUAACACAUGCAAGUCGAACGAACUCUUCGGAGUGAGUGGCGGACGGGUGAGUAAUGCUUGGAAAUCUGCCUGGUAGUGGGGGACAACAGUUGGAAACGACUGCUAAUACCGCAUAACCUCUUCGGAGCAAAGUGGGGGACCCUCGGGCCUCACGCUACCAGAUGAGUCCAAGUGGGAUUAGCUAGUUGGUGAGGUAAAGGCUCACCAAGGCGACGAUCCCUAG
Molecule: ribosomal RNA, 244 nt
Filed under: uncultured Gammaproteobacteria bacterium
Lineage: Bacteria; Pseudomonadati; Pseudomonadota; Gammaproteobacteria
Description: partial 16S ribosomal RNA
Rfam family: Bacterial small subunit ribosomal RNA
Source: RNAcentral